UACGUAGGGGGCAAGCGUUGUCCGGAAUCAUUGGGCGUAAAGAGCGUGUAGGCGGUUCGGUAAGUCGGCUGUGAAAGUCCAGGGCUCAACCCUGGGAUGCCGGUCGAUACUGCCGGACUAGAGUUCGGAAGAGGCGAGUGGAAUUCCCGGUGUAGCGGUGAAAUGCGUUGAUAUCCACAGGAACUCCGGUGGCGAAGGCGAGGUGCUGGACCCCUCCUGACGCUGAGGCGCGAAAGCCAGGGGAGCGAACGGG
Molecule: ribosomal RNA, 253 nt
Filed under: uncultured bacterium
Lineage: Bacteria
Description: partial 16S ribosomal RNA
Rfam family: Bacterial small subunit ribosomal RNA
Source: RNAcentral